This 403-nucleotide ribosomal RNA is filed under the name uncultured soil bacterium. RNAcentral describes it as "bacterial SSU rRNA". It matches the Rfam family "Bacterial small subunit ribosomal RNA", at positions 64 to 457 of the family's 1533-position model. The record is from RNAcentral.
GCGCGAAAAGGGCAACCUGAGUAGAGCGGCGCACGGGUGCGUAACACGUGGAUAAUCUGCCUUUGAGUCUGGGAUAACCUUUGGAAACUUAGGCUAAUACCAAAUAAGCUCACGAGCCCUUCGGGACUUGAGAGAAAAGUAGGCCACUAUUUAUAAGCUUACACUCGAAGAUGAGUCCGCGGCCCAUCAGCUAGUUGGCGGGGUAAUGGCCCACCAAGGCAACGACGGGUAGCUGGUCUGAGAGGACGAUCAGCCACACUGGAACUGAGACACGGUCCAGACUCCUACGGGAGGCAGCAGUGGGGAAUUUUCCACAAUGGGCGAAAGCCUGAUGGAGCAACGCCGCGUGUGUGAUGAAGGUCUUCGGAUCGUAAAGCACUUUCGACCGGGACGAAAACCUAGU